CGAAGUCAUUCAAGCUUUCAAAGCUAAAGUCAGUAAGUUCAAGAUUUUAGGUAUAAUUUGAGUAAAGAAUUUGUAUAAUUUCAAGUUUUUAUGAAGGAAAUAUAGGCAUUCAAAGUUAAGGUGUCAAAUUUGUACCUACUGUCACUCUUUGAAGCAUAACACAUGCGUACGGAGAGCAAUGAAAGAUCGGCGAUUGGAGUUGGAGAGAACACUUUUUUGACUAUACUUUACGUAUAUUGUUUGACAAAUUCCAAGUCUAGAUAA
Molecule: long non-coding RNA, 264 nt
Filed under: Physcomitrium patens
Lineage: Eukaryota; Viridiplantae; Streptophyta; Bryopsida; Funariales; Funariaceae
Description: long non-coding RNA (PPAT_LNC000087)
Source: RNAcentral